Molecule: ribosomal RNA, 367 nt
Filed under: uncultured bacterium
Lineage: Bacteria
Description: bacterial SSU rRNA
Rfam family: Bacterial small subunit ribosomal RNA
Source: RNAcentral
AACGAACGCUGGCGGCGUGCCUAACACAUGCAAGUCGAGCGGGAAAGUUCCCUUCGGGGAGCGAGUACAGCGGCGAACGGGUGAGUAACACGUAGGUAACCUACCCUUGAGACUGGGAUAACCUGCCGAAAGGCGGGCUAAUACUGGAUAAGACCGUGAGGGCUGCGGCCCUUGGGGUAAAAGGUGGCCUCUGCUUGCAAGCUACCACUUGAGGAUGGGCCUGCGCGCCAUUAGCUAGUUGGGAGGUAACGGCUCACCAAGGCUGGGAUGGCUAGCUGGUCUGAGAGGAUGGCCAGCCACACUGGGACUGAGACACGGCCCAGACUCCUACGGGGAGGCAGCAGUCGAGAAUUUUUCACAAUGGGCG